CCUACGGUGGGCAGCAGUGGGGAAUAUUGGGCAAUGGGCGCAAGCCUGACCCAGCAACGCCGCGUGAAGGACGAAGGCUUUCGGGUUGUAAACUUCUUUUGACAGGGAGGAAUAGACGACGGUACCUGUCGAAUCAACCACGGCUAACUACGUUCCAGCAGCCGCGGUAAUACGUAGGGGGAAAGCGUUGUACGGAUUUACUGGGUGUAAAGGGCGUGUAGCCGGGUUGAUAAGUGAGAUGUGAAAUCCUGCGGCUUAACCGCAGAACUGCAUUUGAAACUGUUGAUCUUGAGUACUGGAGAGGCAGACGGAAUUCCUAGUGUAGCGGUGAAAUGCGUAGAGAUUAGGAGGAACACCAGUGGCGAAGGCGGUCUGCUGGACAGCAACUGACGGUGAGGCGCGAAAGCGUGGGGAGCAAACAGGAUUAGAUACCCGAGUAGUC
This 442-nucleotide ribosomal RNA is filed under the name uncultured bacterium. Its description in RNAcentral is "partial 16S ribosomal RNA". It matches the Rfam family "Bacterial small subunit ribosomal RNA", at positions 338 to 795 of the family's 1533-position model. The record is from RNAcentral.